Molecule: non-coding RNA, 73 nt
Organism: Rhodopseudomonas palustris BisB18
Lineage: Bacteria; Pseudomonadati; Pseudomonadota; Alphaproteobacteria; Hyphomicrobiales; Nitrobacteraceae
Source: Rfam
GCCGCAAUAGCUCAGCUGGUAGAGCACGUCAUUCGUAAUGACGGGGUCGGGGGUUCGAAUCCCUCUUGCGGCA